GCUUCUGGUCCGGGUACGCCUGGGUCUUAACCGUCACAAUCUUCACCAUGGUGGCGACUCGCUUCCUGGGGCCGGAGCGGACUCUGCUAACCGAGGGCGGCCGGAGCUGUGGCUGCAGCUGCUCUGGGGGUAUUUGUAUCAGCAAAACGAGUCAACUCCCAAGGUCUAAUUCGACUACUUUCCCUGCGUUUACUGAUGGACCGAACGCUUUACUUGCAUGGUUAGGUAUUCUUGACUAUGGAAUCAAGAUGCUGUGGCAGGCUCAAUAAUGGCUGCCUGAGAGAGAUCCACAUCCUAACUCCUGCAACCUGUGAAUCAUAUGGCAAGAAAAGGACUUUGCAGAUAUAAUUAAGGAUCUUGAAAUGCGGAGAUUAUCCUGGAUUAUUCAAGUGAGCUCUAAAUGCAAUCAUAAGUGUUCUUCUAAGAGGGAAGCUGAGGGAGAUUUUAUUACAGAAGAGGAGAAGACAAUAUGACCAAUGAAGCAGAGACGGGGGUGAUGCAGCCACAAACCAUGGAAUGCCAGCAGCCAUCAAAAGCGGGGAGAAGCAGGAAAUACACUCUCCUCUAGAACCUCUAAAGAGACCACAGCCCUGAUGACACCUUGAUGUUAGCUCAGUGAUACUGAUUUUGGACUUCUGACUUCCAGAACUGUGGGAAAAUUCACGUUGUUUUAAGCAUGGUAAUUUGUGGUAAUUUGGUUAGAGCAGCCAUAGGAAACUAAUACAAAUACUUUGAUUUUAUGAGGGAGUAUGAGUCAGGAAGCUCAAACUCAUGUCCUGAUUCCCUAGAAGCCUAAAGUGUGAUGUCAGGUGGUAAGAGAAUAAGAAAAAGAAGGCUAUAUUCUAAGUCUCUACCAGUGAUUUAAUAACAGAGGAAAGUAUAUCAGGUAUAGCACAAGAAAACGAAAUCAAGAAAUCAUGGAGGUAAUUAUUUCCAAAUUAUUUUGCUCAAAUGAUAUGAAUAAAUUAAAAGGUUUUUUUAUUUUAUUUUUUCUUUAAAUUUUUUAUUAUGUUAAUCACCAUACAUUACAUCAUUAGUUUUU
This is a long non-coding RNA of Zalophus californianus (California sea lion), 1042 nucleotides long. RefSeq lists it as uncharacterized. NCBI's taxonomy places the organism in Eukaryota, Metazoa, Chordata, Mammalia, Carnivora, Otariidae. The transcript has 3 exons. The record is from RefSeq and is a predicted model, not a curated record.